Molecule: ribosomal RNA, 450 nt
Filed under: uncultured bacterium
Lineage: Bacteria
Description: partial 16S ribosomal RNA
Rfam family: Bacterial small subunit ribosomal RNA
Source: RNAcentral
GUGGGGAAUAUUGGACAAUGGGCGAAAGCCUGAUCCAGCCAUGCCGCGUGUGUGAAGAAGGUCUUCGGAUUGUAAAGCACUUUAAGUUGGGAGGAAGGGCAGUAAGUUAAUACCUUGCUGUUUUGACGUUACCGACAGAAUAAGCACCGGCUAACUUCGUGCCAGCAGCCGCGGUAAUACGAAGGGUGCAAGCGUUAAUCGGAAUUACUGGGCGUAAAGCGCGCGUAGGUGGUUUUGUAAGUUGGAGGUGAAAUCCCCGGGCUCAACCUGGGAACUGCCUCCAAAACUGAAUGACUAGAGUACGGUAGAGGGUAGUGGAAUUUCCUGUGUAGCGGUGAAAUGCGUAGAUAUAGGAAGGAACACCAGUGGCGAAGGCGACUACCUGGACUGAUACUGACACUGAGGUGCGAAAGCGUGGGGAGCAAACAGGAUUAGAUACCCUUGUAGUCC